Molecule: ribosomal RNA, 253 nt
Filed under: uncultured bacterium
Lineage: Bacteria
Description: partial 16S ribosomal RNA
Rfam family: Bacterial small subunit ribosomal RNA
Source: RNAcentral
UACGGGGGGGGCAAGCGUUGUUCGGAAUUACUGGGCGUAAAGGGCGCGUAGGCGGCCAACUAAGUCAGACGUGAAAUCCCUCAGCUUAACUGGGGAACUGCGUCUGAUACUGGAUGGCUUGAGUUUGGGAGAGGGAUGCGGAAUUCCAGGUGUAGCGGUGAAAUGCGUAGAUAUCUGGAGGAACACCGGUGGCGAAGGCGGCAUCCUGGACCAACACUGACACUGAGGAGCGAAAGCCAGGGGAGCAAACGGG